UCUUCAUAUUGGCAAACCUAUCGAAAGAUAGGGACGCAAAGCUACGGGUCUAAGGGUUGAGAAACCUAUGAUCGCCGGGUUGCUGCC
Molecule: non-coding RNA, 87 nt
Filed under: Ferroacidibacillus organovorans
Lineage: Bacteria; Bacillati; Bacillota; Bacilli; Caryophanales; Alicyclobacillaceae
Description: Acidibacillus ferrooxidans c-di-GMP sequence
Rfam family: c-di-GMP-I riboswitch aptamer
About the family: GEMM was predicted in a large-scale screen for bacterial structured RNA regulatory elements. Genes associated with GEMM are involved in a diverse array of functions, including chemotaxis regulation, signal transduction, secretion and chitin.
Source: RNAcentral